AAGUCGUAACAAGGUAUCCGUAGGUGAACCUGCGGAUGGAUCAUUAUCACGUAUCCACGUAUCAACCAUUGUGAACUGUUUUUUAUAUCUUGUUUUAUUUUAAGUUUCUUUUUUUAGUGAUGUCUCGAUAUCAUUAAAGAAUUAAAUUUAAUACUAAAGCAUUAUAUAUAUUAUUUUAUUAACAAUUUGAACCAUAACUUUAUAAUUUUUGACUUACUUAUUUUAUACUCUUCGGAGAUAAAAUUCAUUACGAAACAAAGAACAACUCUUAGCAACGGAUAUCUUGGUUCUCGUAAAGAUGAAGAACGCAGC
This 312-nucleotide unclassified non-coding RNA is filed under the name fungal sp. RNAcentral's name for it is "partial internal transcribed spacer region". The stretch from base 1 to 46 matches the Rfam family "Eukaryotic small subunit ribosomal RNA", at positions 1786 to 1831 of the family's 1831-position model. The record is from RNAcentral. Lineage: Eukaryota; Fungi.